AAUUCGAUGCAACGCGAAGAACCUUACCUACUCUUGACAUCCAGAGAAUUUGCUAGAGAUUAGCUUAGUGCCUUCGGGAACUCUGAGACAGGUGCUGCAUGGCUGUCGUCAGCUCGUGUUGUGAAAUGUUGGGUUAAGUCCCGCAACGAGCGCAACCCUUAUCCUUUGUUGCCAGCGAGUAAUGUCGGGAACUCAAAGGAGACUGCCGGUGAUAAACCGGAGGAAGUGGGGAUGACGUCAAGUCAUCAUGGCCCUUACGAGUAGGGCUACACACGUGCUACAAUGGCAUAUACAAAGAGAAGCGAACUCGCGAGAGCAAGCGGACCUCAUAAAGUAUGUCGUAGUCCGGAUUGGAGUCUGCAACUCGACUCCAUGAAGUCGGAAUCGCUAGUAAUCGUAGAUCAGAAUGCUACGGUGAAUACGUUCCCGGGCCUU
Molecule: ribosomal RNA, 435 nt
Filed under: uncultured Enterobacteriaceae bacterium
Lineage: Bacteria; Pseudomonadati; Pseudomonadota; Gammaproteobacteria; Enterobacterales; Enterobacteriaceae
Description: bacterial SSU rRNA
Rfam family: Bacterial small subunit ribosomal RNA
Source: RNAcentral